This 245-nucleotide ribosomal RNA is filed under the name uncultured bacterium. RNAcentral's name for it is "partial 16S ribosomal RNA". It matches the Rfam family "Bacterial small subunit ribosomal RNA", at positions 524 to 756 of the family's 1533-position model. The record is from RNAcentral.
UACGUAGGGCGCAAGCGUUGUCCGGAAUUAUUGGGCGUAAAGAGCUCGUAGGCGGCUUGUCACGUCGGGUGUGAAAGCCCGGGGCUUAACCCCCGGGUCUGCAUUCGAUACGGGCUAGCUAGAGUGUGGUAGGGGAGAUCGGAAUUCCUGGUGUAGCGGUGAAAUGCGCAGAUAUCCGAGGAACGACCGUGCGGAGGCGGCUAGCCUGGACCGAUCCAUGGACCGCUGAUUGACGUGACCGGCUA